AUGGCAAAAACCGUCACCCAGUGCGCGCGCACACACACCUCCUAUUUAAACUCUGGGUGUUUCCGAGGACACGAAUCAGAAGUUUUUGCGCCUACAGCUGGCACUGCGAGUCCCCACUGCUGCCUUCUGUCUCUACUGAGAUUUCUUUCUUUUUUUUCUUUAAAAAAAUUUUUUUUUUUAAGUCGUUUAUACAUGGAUGGUAUUAGAGCAAGUUAUCAUUUUAUUGGCACUGCAUGCAGGCCUGAACUGGCCACCGGGAGCACAGGGAGAAUUCACGCUCUGGCAAACAGUUUGGAACAGAGUCAUCACUGCAAAGAGUGAGAAUGGAGAGGAAGUGCAGAGGAUGGAGAGGAAACGGAGAGGAUGGAGGGGAAGCGGAGAGAUUGGAGAGGAAGCGGAGAGGAUGGAGAGGAAACGGAGAGGUUGGAGAGGAAGGAGAGGAAGCGGAGAGGAUGGAGAGGAAGCAGAGAGGAUGAUGAAGAAGCGGAGAGGAUGGAGAGGAAGCAGAGAGGAUGGAGAGGAAGAGGAGAGGAUGGAGAGGAAGUGGAGAGGAUGGAGAGGAAACGGAGAGGAUGGAGAGGAAGAGGAGAGGAUGGAGAGGAAGUGGAGAGGAUGGAGAGGAAGUGGAGAGGAUGAAGAGGAGAGGAGGGAGAGGAAGUGGAGAGGAUGGAGAGGAAGCGGAGAGUAUGGAGAGGAAGCGGAGAGGACGGAGAGGAAGUGGAGAGGCUGGAGAGGAAGUGGAGAGGAUGGAGAGGAAGCGCUCUAAAAAGAAGCAGCAAAAAUGUAAUAAAAAAACAACCAGUUCAGGGCUUCAAGGGCAGGUCAGUCUCAUCUGUAAAUACUGUAGCUUUGUGUUCUCUAACUUAGCUAAUCAAGUAUUAACCACAGUUUCACUAUAUAAUAGUCAGCACUAUUACUAUCGUCACUCAAAAUAUGCUAAAGGACAGUGUUAUCUACUGUAUAGUUAUAAUACUAAGCAAUUUAGCAGACAAAUAUCCAAAUUGAUUAUUUUAAAUGUGGGAAUUAAAAAUACAGCUAUAGCAAGCAACAACAACAACAACAACAGCAACAAAGACUUUCCAAGCUAUGAGUCGUAAAAGGUAAUAUCAUGUUCAAUAUUAGGAUUUUUCUAAAUAGAUAUUGCCAUGAUGUAGUUAGUAUUGUACUAACAGAUAUUUAGGCAAAUUAUAAAAUUAUGUCUUCCCAUAUGUGAGGUUGAAAAAUUUUUUUUUUAUAAUAAGGUGAAGAGAGUCAACCUGGCAUUAGCUCUGUGCAGCGGUCACACUUCAGGGUCAACCUGAUAUGACAGGUAGAGAUAAAACUUCAUAUUCGUAUGAAAUAUAGUAUGGUUAAACCUCAGGUAUUUUAAGCAUUUUUAAGUCUCAAAAAACAUUGCCCUAAUGUGAUACAUUAAUAUUAAUAACUAAAGGAAAUUUUGAUUCUGUGCUCACAAAUUACAUUGAGGUUAAACAGUUUUCAUUUUCUAACAAUGUGGACACAGUUCUGUUCAUAACAUACAUGAAAAAUGUCUUUUGUUUACCUCUCUUCUGCAUUUAAUGUUACUGAGUUACUGGCAGCUUUGCACUUCUGGUGUUUGUUAAAUGCUUGGCAUACCCAUGUAAGCUGAUAUAAAUUAGGACUGCUUCACUACCUCUAGGUUUCUUGUUUAUGUUUUUAUAGGAUGGCCGUAUUGUGUGCAAACUGAAUUUAGGAAAGAAAAAGGGUUGUCAGUGGUUUCAAAAUGUGUUUAUGGUGUAUGGGAUUCCCUGGUUGAGUGUGAGACAUCAUGUCCCAGUCCGGCCCUGACUGCAUGUUCCUAUCCGAUUACACUGAGUGACAACACUCUCUGUUAUGCUUGGAUAUUAGGCACUUCAGUAUACUGUAUGUGUCGGGUGUGUUAUUUAGGUGCUGUAGUGCUCUGUGGAUCAACAGCGGCUCAUGACCAUAGAUUUUGGUGGGACAGGAAGACAUUAUUAAUGACAUAGUCUCAAACAAAAUCAAUCACACACAACAGAGUUUGCACAGAAUGGUGCGGAAAAAAACAAAAAGCAAACAAACAAAAACUAUUGCUUACUAUUUUUUUUUUUUUCACACCAUUCUGUGUAAAUUCUAAAGACUGUUGUGUGUGAAAAUCCCAGGAGAUCAGCAGUUUCUGAAAUACACAAACUAGCCCAUCUGGCACCCCUGCUAAAAACCCCCCCAAACAAAUAGAAACCAUCUCAGAAAUGUUAGUGGUUGACACUACAAAUACUAUUACAAUCCACCAGCUAACCAUUAAAACCAUUACCAUUACCAUAAUUGGUCCUUAAUGAUAUCCACUACACAUGACAUGACACCAAUAAAAGGCAACAAAUUACCAGUAGAGCUCCACAGGUACCUUUACAGUUUCCAUAAAAAAACAAACCAUACAAUUUCCAUUAUAACCAUUAAAAACAUUACAAAUUCUAUAAGGGUUUCAAUUGUUUCUUUGUUUUCAGCAGGGCAACCAUGGUUAAAGUCACAGAGAUCACACUUUUCCCCCAUUCUGAUGUCUAAUGUAAACAUUAACUGAAGCUCUUGGCCAGUACCUGCAUGAUUUCAUGCUUGCACUGCUGCCACAUGAUUGACUGAUUGGAUAACUGCAUAAACGUGCAGGUGUACCGGUGUUCCUAUUAAAGUGGACGGCUGUGGCGAAGCUCUGCCUCACCUGCCUCUCUGGAUGAGCCACCAUUACUGAAAUAAUAGAGGUGAUUAGGGGUGUAAAUCUCAGAUUUACACAUAAUAAAAUGUGAUCUUAAGGCAAUGAGUUAAUGUUUGAUGAUACCACUGAAUCUGCUAUACAAUACAAUACAAUACAAUACAGUUUAGUCUCCAAUCGAUAUAUGAUCAACUUUGUUAAGAUUCUGGGGUAGGCCUAGUGUUAAUUCUCAAAUGAUGAUGGUGAUCUGGCCUUUUUAUUAUAAUUGAUUUAUAAUCAAUUAUAAUCAAUAAUAAUUGAUUUAUGACUGUCUCUUAGAUUCAUUUCAAUCAUUGCAUUCAAUCGUACACAUACCUCUGCAUGCAUGUGUGUUCAUGUGUGUUACUCAAGCUGUUCUGCUGGCUAAUUUGUCACCCAUUAGUAUAUUCCACGAUGACAUACUACAGCCCAUAGCUGGAAAAUAUUUGGGAUUGAACAAGUUCAUGCAUUGUGCUCUAUCUCUGAAGGGAUCCAUUAAAAGGUUGUUUUUUUUUAAGCAUUGGAUUGGGCUGUAGCGCCCUCUAGCGGUUUUAAACGAAUGAUACAGCUUCUUAGUCUUAAAGCGCCCCUAUUAUAUUAUAUAAAAAGUGCCUAAUAUUGUUUUACAGGUCUCAUACAACAGGUUUACAUGCAUCCAAGGUCAAAAAACACUUUAAUUUUCAAAAGAUCAGUAUUUUGCCUUGGCUGAUCCAAAACAUUGACUUUAUUCUUCUUUAACCAUUCUUUGAUAGAACAACUUGUGUGUUUAGGGUUGCUGACUUGCUGCAUGACCCACUUUCUCUUGAGAUUCAGUUCAUGAACAGAUGUCCUGACAUUCUGCUUUAGAAUUCACUGGUAUAAUUCAGAAUUCAUUGUUUCAUCAAUGAUAGCAAGUCGUCCUGGCCCAGAUCCAGCAAAACAGGCCCAAACCAUGACACUAUCACCAGCACGUUUCACAGACUGGAUAAGGUUCUUAUGCUGGAAUGCAGUGUUUUCUUUUCUCCAAACACAAUGCUUCUCAUUUAAACCAAAAAUUCUAUUUUGGUCUCAUCUAUCCACAAACCAUCUUUCCAUUAACCUUCUGGCUUGUCUACGUGGUCUUUAGCAAACUGCAGAGGGGCAACAAUGUUCUUUUUGGAGAGCGGGGGCGUUUUCCUUGCAACCCUGCAAUGCACCAUUGUUGUUCAUAGUUCUGAUGGUGGACUCAUGAACAUUAACAUUAGCCAGUGUGAGAGGGGUCUUUAGUUGCUUAGAAUUUACCCUGGGAUCCUUUGUGACCUCACAAACGUCUUGCUCUUGGAGUGAUCUUUGUUGGUCGAACACUCCUGGGGAGGGUAACAGUGAUCUUGAAUUUCCUCCAUUUGUACACAAUCUGUCUGACUGUGGAUUUUUGGAGUCCAAACUCUUUAGAGAUGGUUUUGUAACCUUUUCCAGCCUGAUGAGGAUCAACAACUCUUUAUCUGAGGUCCUCAGAAAUCUCCUUUGUUCAUGCCAUGAUACACUUCCACAAACAUGCGUUGUGAAGAUCAGACUUUGGUAUAUCCCUGUUCUUUAAGUAAAACAGGGCACUUACUCACACCUGAUUGUCAUCGCAUUGAUUGAAAACACCUGACUCUAAUUUCACCUUCAAAUUAAACUUUGGCUGCAUUGGCUCCCAGUCCAUUUUAGGAUCCAGUUUAAGAUUCUGUUGUUUUUAAAACUCUUAAUGAUCAAGCUCCUUCCUAGCUCAAAGAUCUUGUUACACCAAAUUCAUCUAACAGAUUUCUAAGAUCUUCUGAUAGGUUUCCUCUGUAUGUCUCUCGAUCCCGGUUAAAAACUAAGGGGGAUAGAGCUUUUUCAGUUGCUGACCCUCGUUUAUGGAAUCAAUUGCUACUGGAUAUCCACCUUGCACCUUCAAUUACCAAUUUUAAAAAGAGGCUUAAAACAGCUCUCUUCUCCCAGGCGUUUUAAUAAUUCUUUUUACUAUUGUCUGUUGUCUGUCUUUAUUUGGUUUUAUUCUGUUUUUCCAUUUUACGUUUCUGUACUCUGUUCAGCACUUUGGUCAGCUUCGCUGUGUUAAAUGUGCUUUAUAAAUAGAAUUUACUUACUUACUUACUAAACUGCUAAUCCUAGAGACUCACAUAGUUUUGCCACUCACAGAUAUGUAAUAUUGGAUCAUUUGGGUUCUCUUUGUCUACUUUUAGGACUUGUGUGAAAAUCUAUUGAUGUUUUAGAUCAUACUUAUGCAGAUAUAUAGAAAAAUUUACAAAAAAAUUCACAAACAUUCAAGCACCACUGUAUUUAUGGCCAAAUUAAUUAUAUGGUGAAUUAUAGUAACUGGAAACACUUAUAACUUAUUCAUUUCAUAGGAUACUCUGCCUUCAAUUAUGGAAUUUUAUGGUUGUGGCUUCCAAUGGAGAAUGACCUGAUGAAAGAAGGAUUCAUAAAUUGAUGACUGUAACUCAAAAAGUUUAAGGCACAGUGAGAACAACACAUUGGUGCUGAUCACAGCUAUAGUGUUUCAGGUGACACAGUACAUAAUAUGUAUGAACUCUUAUUAAUUGUAGUAAUAUUUCUUAUUUUGAAGUGAUAUAUUAUUUUCAGUAAUUAUAAAUUAGCAGUGCCAAGUCUUCUACCUAUAUGUGUUUCAAAGAUUGAGGAAAGAAGGGAUGAGGACAAUGAAAUAUAUAUCAAUGGGAUGCAUCGUAAAAAAAAAAAAAAUAAAAAAAAAAAGUUCUCUUCGUACAAUAAUCACAUGUGUAAUAAGGAAUAAAAUGGAUAUUCUCGUUAUGUUAUAUAAAUAUUAUUCAACUCCCCCCACCCUGCAAAAAAAACAAACAAAUAAACAAAAAAAGAUUAGAAGCCUUUUCCUCUAAUUUCACAACCAUGGAUGACUCUGUGUUAAGAGAAGGAAUUUUAUCAUUAAUUUAAUAGGCUGUUCAUGGUUUGUUAUGUUGAUUACAUCCUGUAGCCUAUCCUAGUCUAAUCUGUUAUCUGAUAACACACCCUAAAACUACUAAUUUAGUGAGGAAUAUUUCACUAGCAUGCUUUUGACACAACUCUCUCUCUCAAGGGCUCUGCUGUACAGGAAACAGAAAUGAUUAGUUCAUCUCUUGAAUCUUCGGGUGCGAGUCAUUCGUUCGUUAUGUCACAGCUGCAUUCAGCCUAUGGGGCGGUCACGUAAUGAACGAACGACUCGAACCCGAAGACUCAAAAGGUGAACUAAUCAUUUCUGUUUCCGGUGAACAGUCAUGACAAAUGUGACUCUGAGGACUCGGAUGACUCGAAUCGGGAGGUGAUGUGAACUAACAGACUGCUAAGCUAUUAAUGAAUCAUUUCUGUUUCUCAUCAUUCAGCCUUGGCUGCAUUAGCCUAUAGUUUAUUUUUUAUUCCAAAUGUGAUCAACAUUUGUGUAAGUACUAGAUGUUUUGGGGAAUUUAACAUGUAGCAUUUUAAUUAUAUUCUGCUGAAAUGAACGAAACGACUCGAAAAAAGAUUCGUUCAUUUUGCUGAACGAGAUUCAAAGAUCCGAGUCAGUAAAAUGAUCCGAAAUUCCCAUCACUACAUUUUAACGUCAUACUGCUACCUCUAAUCUCAUGUUUCUAAGCUGAAUAGGAAGCCAAACAGUGUCGAAACUGUGCUUCCCAACAAACCAUGCAGCGUGACCAUCAGUGCGAAAAAAGCAAACAGCUAUCACUAGUUGCAUAUCUACAGUAAAUAAAAUACAAUGAUAUAACACAACACAACAUAAAACUAGUUAUUUUUAAAUUAUUUCUCCUUUUUUCCAUCUGGACACCCCUUAUUUUCUGUCAUUUCUCAUUCAAAGAGCAACACAUUUUAAAAUUAUGAAAAAGUGUGUGUGUGUGUGUGUGUGUGUGUGUGUGUGUUUGAAAGAGAAAGAGAGAGAGAGAGAGAGAGAGAGAGAGAGAGAGAGAGAGAGAGAAUCUUGGCUUGUACAUAUAGCAGGACUAUAAAUUCUUGUCUAGAAUUGCAAUCUGAUUGUAAAUGUGGCCGGCAAUCACUAGAAUGAUCUGGGCCACACCCCCCAUCCACAAUCAGCCCAAAUGUUGUCUGCCAUCUCGUUUGCAGUGCCAUCAUUGCCACACACGGCCCACACUUGGCUGACAUGAUGCAUGCCAGUCCCGGCAGCACGCCAGCAGUGCCAUCCUGAGGCCUCAUUUGGUCCAAGACCGUCUGCUAUGUGGGCAGCUGUCUGCAGAUCUCUCUAUAGAUUAAAGGACCCGAGACUCCUCACCAAGUAAAGUCGAAUUUGGACGUUCUUGUACAGUACCUGAUGGAUUGAGAAGUAAUUUUCUGGUUUUCUUCUUAAUGAAGAUGCAAAUAGGCACAAAUGUUUAGUAGAGAACAUGCCAAACAAAAAUAUAUACAGUACCCAGUGAAGAGGUUUUCAUCAGCACAUGAUUCCUGAAAAAUGUUUAACAUGCUCCAGUAGGUCUGAAAAUCAGAUUUGAAAUUAUUAAAGGAAAUGUUUCAAUGAUGAGUGAUUAUAUAAGUAGAUUAAAUGAAUGACCAAAAAUUAAAUGACAACCAGGAUUGUUGAGCUUGAUGGUGAGGCUUAGAUGUUUUACGUGCAUGUUUUAAUAGGAAAGCCUUGUACUUCAUAAAUGUAAUCAUGAGUCAAUGUAGUCGGUGUAGUCAUAUGAAGCGCCCAAAAUACAGGUCCUCAUUAUGGCAGCAGCAAGUGUGAAAAAUAGCAAGAGAAGAAUGACUGUCUCGUCUAUUUUUCAGUUGCCGAUGCCAUAAAAAUAAUCAUUUUUUGGUCAUUUAUUUAAUCUACUUAUAUAAUAUUCUUCAGUACCUCUGUGUUCUUUGACCAGUCUGGCUUACUGUCCAAAGCUUACAGUCCACACCAAGAUAUUCAGUAUAAUUCGGAACCCUCUCCACAUAUAUAAACAGGGAUUCGAGUAUGCUUCCCUGUCCUAAAAUGCAUCACAAGCUAUUUCGUCUUGCUGAUGUUGACUUGUACAUUGUUCUACUCACACCACUCCAUGUAGUUGCCCACUACACUCCUCUACUCAUCUUUCUACCAUGCCCUGAUGACCCUGCGUUAUUCAUAACAGUGUCAGACAUACAUCUCUGAAGUCUGACUGUCCAGUGAGAGAGUGAGCGAUCCAGGACACUAGAGGGGCAUCUGUACACAUCUCCAUCAGCUUGUGUGUCAGCAAGGUCGGUCUAAUAGUUUUGAAUGCACUGGAGAAGUUGAGGAACAUUAUUCUAACAGAGCUAUCAGGUUCAGCCAAGUGAGUAUAGGGUUGAUGAAGUAUGUAGAUGAUGGCAUCGAUCACUGUUAUCUUUGUCUGGUAAGCAAACUGCAAGGGGUCUACUGAUGGUAUCAUCAGGGGUUGUUGUUUUGACAGAACCAGCAUCUCCAGGGUCUUAACGAUGUAACCGUUCUGGACCAGUGUCUUCAUUACAUCCUCCUUUUUCUACAAUUCCAGCAGUUUCCUGUACUCCAAGACCUUGGUUUAAAUGUCUGAAUUAUGACACAGCAGUAUUAUACAGAUAUCUGGGGAAACCCCUGAAUGAUUCAGGAAGGCAAGAAGAAGACUGAUGAGGUAGUGUUGGUGCAUACAAUGAACAGUAAGCUUUUCUCAGGAGGCCCUGGACAAAUAUCCCUCUCCUAGUCACACUUUAAGUGGCAACUGUAAAAUAUUAUAAGUGCACUAUGCAAGAGCAUAUUUGAUGACAGCUCUUGUGCUUUUUCUUAUGAAAUGAUUAAUGCACUGAUCCAUGACACAGAAGAAAUUGGCUAUAGUACUAAAGUGCUUGCAUAGAAGCUUUUAACAAUUAUUUUCGCAAUUAUCUUUAUACAGUGAAGUAAGUCACAGCUUUCUGGAAUAUAGCUCAUAAAUACUGAUUAAAUUGAUAUCAAUUGUAUAGUGAUUAAACAUGACAUUACUUGUCACUAGUGAUACAGUUAUUAUAAUUUCAUAUUACAUUUACCCAUUCAUAUUUACAGAUAAAGAAGGCAGCUGAGAAGAAGAGCGCGUGUCUGGUCUAGCUGUCUGGAAAGCCGCGCCUUUUUGCGGGAAAUAAAUGUAACUCUCUAGCCAUCAGAAAUUCCCCACAUCAUGAUACAAGUCAUGGUCAGGGGUUGCGGUGGAUCCGAAGCCUAUCCUGGGACGCAGAGAACACAUUACAGAACCCCGUAUGUUGUUAUUCAGUCACAUAUAAAAUUAAAUCAGCAUAAUUAGUGUGAUGCUGCUUCGGAAAACCACAAUAAACACAAGAGUCACUACCACCAGUACAUCCAUCGUGUACGUGCUUCUGUUUGUUGGGAAACUCCAAUUCCAAUAGAGAUCCAUGUUAUGAAGGGUUUUUUUUGUUUGUUUGUUUGUUUGUUUUUUAAUUCUAGUGCAAGUUUAUGAGACAGAAUAAAAUCUUUAACGAUUUAAGAUCUUGAUGGUUGGAGGCCAUGUGCAAGUCGGAACAUGCAUGACUUUUCAUAUCCAUGACAGCUACUAAUUAACAACAUAAUAGUGUACAUCAUAUUCAACACGCUUAGUGAUGACAAAUGCAUAUGAAGUGAUCAAGGUGGAGUAUAAAACAGGAAAGGUGUGUGUGUGUGUGUGUGUGUGUGUGUGUGUGUGUGUGUGUGUAUAUAUAUAUAUAUAUAUAUAUAUAUAUGUGUAUAUAUAUAUAUAUAUAUAUAUAUAUAUAUAUAUAUAUACAUACACAUCCUUUCUCUAUACUGCUUAUCCUACAGGGUCGCGGGGAACCUGGAGCCUAUCCCAGGGAGCAUAGGGCACAAGGCGGGGUACACCCUCGAUGGGGUGCCAAUCCAUCACAGGGCACACUCACACACACAUUCACACACCCAUUCAUACACUACAGACAUUUUGGACAUGCCAAUCAGCCUACCCUGCAUGUCCUUGGACUGGGGGAGGAAACUGACAUACCCAGGGGAAACCCUCGCGGUACAGGGAGAACUCCGCACACACUGAACAGCGGCGGGAAUCCAACCCCCAACCCUGGCGGUGUGAGGUAAACAUGCCAACCACUAAGACAUUGUGCGCCCUAUACACACACACACACACACACACACACACACACACACACACACACAUACAUAAAGCCGCAUGCACCAACUUAAUGAAUCUUUCAUGAAUUUGGCUGUCCUGUAGUGCCUAUAAAAGCUAAAAUAAAUUACUUAAAUUGAUUCCAAAAUCUUUUUGUAAAAUACAUAUAUUGUAUUUCAAAUUACUGAACAUGCUUAUGGUUUCACAGACGUUUGUCAGCUAUGUUACAGAAUACUCUGGAAAAAGCAGUUGUACUUGGAGAAAUAAUAAGGAAAAUACAGUAAUAAUAAAAUAAAAAAGAGUCAUUGCUGUGUAAUAUGCAAACAAUUUUGUUUUACUUCUUUUUUUUCUUGUUCUUUUAUUUUAAUUACUUCAUUGUGUUUUCUGGAAACAAAUCCAAGUAAAAAACACAAAAUCCCAAUCCACCGAGGGAAAAUACUUGGAUUCUCACGUUCCUGUUGCUUGUUUUAACAGUUGAGACACUCUAUUCAGCCAGUGCUCCUUCCUGACAGUUCACAUCUGAGUAAAUACAGACUACUUUCACUCUGAAUAUCACAGAGAUGUGAAUGUGACGUCUCAUUAGUCACAGUCUGUUGAGAAUACGACAUGAUGACAAUGGAUAUAAAAAGUCUACAAUGCCAAGUUUUUGUGAAAAAAAGCAAUGAGGAUAAUCCAUGUCAGAUCAUUUCCCAGCUUUAAUGUGAAAUUGCACACAAAUAAAGUGAAAAACAAUCAGAACAUUUUUAGGAUGGAAAAAGAAAAGAAAAAGAAAAAACAUACAAUAACCUAAUUGCGUAAGUGUGCACACCCCUAAACUAAUACUUUGUUGAACCACCUUUUGAUUUUUUUACACCACUUUUUGGGUAAGAGUUUAUCAGCAUGGCAUGUCUCGAAUUAUUUUCCCAUUCUUUCUUGCAAAAACAUUCUAGAUCCAUCAAAUUGUGAGGGCAUCUCCUGCACUUACACUUGAUUUCCAGUAAUGCAUAAAAUCCCAGCGUUUAAUACAUUUCUUUAUUAAAUAUUUUUAUACCAGAAUAUAGCCUACUUUUCCUCAAUGUCUUUCUUUCUUUCUCUCUUUCUUUCACAUUUAUUAUUAUUAUUAUUUUUAUUAUUAUUAUUAUUAUUAUUAUUAUUAUUAUUAUUAUUGCUUUCGGUGAUAUUAACUAUUUAUGUAGAUUUUUAAGACAUUUGGUCAACUGAAAAAUAUGCUUAUUUUAUUACUAUUAAUUUAUUAUUAAUUAAUUUAUUAAUUUAUAUUGGAUAUAGUUGGGGCGCACGGUGGCUUAGUGGUUAGCACGUUCGCCUCUGAGGUUCGAUUCCCAUCAUGUGUGUGCGGGGGUUUGCAUGUUUGCAUGUUCACCCCGUGCUGUGGGGGUUUCCUCUGGGUACUCCGGUUUCCUCCUCAGUCCAAAGACAUGCACGGUAGGUUGAUUGGCAUGUCCAAAGUGUCCAUAGUGUAUGAAUGGGUGUGUGAAUGUGUGUGUGAUUGUUUUCCCUGCGAUGGAUUGGCACCCUGUCCAGGGUGUACCCCGCCUUGUGCCUGAUACUCCCUGGGAUAGGCUCCAGGUUUCCCCGUGACCCUGAAAAGGAUUAAGCAGUUGAAGAUGGAUGGAUGGAUGGGUGGAUAUAGCUGUGGACUCCUCAUUGUUUUAAAGAAGCCUGUCUUACAUCACAUUUGUAAAAACAGGACUUCUGAGACCGCUACGUGGAACAAUCCUGGAAAGGUCUUUCUUGCAAAAAAGCUUUUAAAAUAAACAGGUGACCAAAUAUUAACCAAUAUCAUUAACUUCUCUUAAACCGAAAAUAUCUGUCUGUUUCCACUAAUGAAAGAAAAAUUGUGACAAUGUUAUUAUGAUAAUUCUCUUCUUUUCCUUUUCUUUAUUAAAAAGGAGAGGGAAAAUUGAGUCAAACUAAAAAUGUUUUCAAAGUAAAAAAAAAAGAAAAAAAAAAAAAUAGCUCUAAGCUAUUCUCAGGAUUCGCCUCUGGCACUCUGUGUGGUACUUAUGAACAACAAACAACUUAAUAAAGAAUGAGUGAUACAUUUUCAAGUGUUUCCCGUAAACAUAUUGUUGAUCCUUGUCAGUCUUUGCUGACUCCUCUCAGACUGCUUCACCAAUUCCGUUAUCAUGCCAGUUAAAGACCAGCUAUGUCUAAAUCACUGAGGCAUUUUUUUUUACACAAAAAAGGCAGAAGAUACUCAAUUAAAAGUAAAAGUGGCAGAACUAAAGCGACUAAAUUGACUGAAUUAAAACUGCCAAAAUGUUUCAUUUUCAAAAACAUGCUUAAAGAAUAAAAUAAAACUCUGUGAAUCAUACCCCCCCCCCCCCCCCCACGUGCAUUAGAAGAGCACAGCUAUUUUAUAUGAGACAUGAAGUCAUUCAACGUGACCUUGCAUCAAGUUCUCUGCGCUGCCUUAAAAAGCAUGAAAAACUCAAAUCGAAAGUGGAUGACACAUACAUUAAAGUCAGGAAGUGGGAUAAAGUAUUCAGAGAGUCUCAAAAGGAAUACUGAAUGAAGCACAUGAUAAAAUUCCUGUUUGUUCCUGAUCUGCAGAAACGGUUCUAAAAUAACAAAAGAAAUAUUUGAAAAAAUCCCACAAUCCAGACUGCUAAUGCUGAUGAUGGUAACAUGUUACACAUUUCACUUUGCAUGCAGUCAACACACAUUUUCUUUGUCUCGAGCUUCUGAUCACCAACUAGAUUUUCUCACCUGUUUUUCCUGAUUCUUAUAAACAAACCAAAAAAAAAAAGAAAGAAAAGAAAAUCCCCUAACAUCCAGGUGAUUGAUUAUAAAUAUUCUAAAUAUGUGUUUAAAAAGAACAACAAACGGAACACGAUAAGAAACAUAUGGUAUCUUUUAACAUUUAAUGUUUAAGUUGUAAUCUUUCCUGAAUGUGAAUGUUCUGUAUUGCCUACAAAAAAAAUGUAUUGUUUGGUUCCUAGUGUAUGCAGGACUUUAAUAGAAAUGAAUAGAAAUGAUUUAAAUGAAUGAAAAAUAAUCCUGUUAAACUGGAAAUAAUGUAAAGCUAUAGGAAUAUAUUUUGAAUGUUGUCAAAUGAUUAAAAACAUAAUCAUUUGACAACUAUAGCCUACUUCUCCCCAGUGUCUUUCUUCCUUUCUUUCACAUUUAUUAUUAUUAUUAUUAUUAUUAUUAUUAUUAUUAUUAUUAUUAUUAUUAUUAUUAUUGCUUUCAGUGAUAUUAACUAUUUAUGUAGAUUUUUAAGACAUUUGGUCAACUGAAAAAUAUGCUUAUUUUAUUAACAUAGGAUAUAGCUGUGGACUCCUCAUUGUUUUAAAGAAGCCUGUCUUUCAUCAUAUUUGUAAAAACAGGACUUCUGAGACCGCUACGUGGAACAAUCCUGGAAAGGUCUUUCUUGCAAAAAAGCUUUUAAAAUAAACAGGUGACCAAAUAUUAACCAAUAUCAUUAACUUCUCUUAAACCGAAAAUAUCUGUCUGUUUCCACUAAUGAAAGAAAAAUUGUGACAAUAUUAUUAUGAUAAUUCUCUUCUUUUCCUUUUCUUUAUUAAAAAGGAGAGGGAAAAUUGAGUCAAACUAAAAAUGUUUCCAAAGUAAAAAUUUUUUUUUUAAAAAUAGCUCUAAGCUAUUCUCCGGAUUCGCCUCUGACACUCUGUGUGGUACUUAUGAACAACAAACAACUUAAUAAAGAAUGAGUGAUACAUUUUCAAGUGUUUCCCGUAAACAUUUUGCUGAUCCUUAUCAGUCUUUACUGACUCCUCUCAGACUGCUUCACUAAUUCCGUUAUCAUGUUAGUUAAGGACCAGCUGUGUCUAAAUCACUGAGGCGUUUUUUUUUAACGGAAGAUACUGAAGUAAAAGUGGUAGAACUAAUGCGACUAAAUUGACUAAAACUACCGAAAUGUUUCAAUUUUCAAUAACACGAUCAAAAUGAAAUCAGUGAAACUCCUCACUUAAUUUUAUUCACACCAAACUAUAGAUAAUUUUAUAGCCUAUAUAAAUGUAAAUCCUUUAGAGCAAAUGAUUUGGAGUGUGUGUGUCUGUGGGGGGGGGGGGGGGGGGGGGGGGGGGUGGUUGGGGCGGUCUCUCUGAGAAAGUGUUCUCAAAUGUUUUGUCUGUACUCUUACACCUUGGGGGUUGGAUGGAUGGAUUGGGAGGCAGGGAAUUAUGUGCUAAAGGUGAAUCAUACAGUUUUAGAUUUCAGAAUGGUAGCCAAUUAACUUGCAGGAUGGGAAGAAAAGUUAGGUAAGAGUUCCUUAGAAUCUAGGGUCACUGUAGAUAGUGGGGUGGUUUCCCUGCUUUAUAAAGUCGACAGGAUUGAGGAUGAGCAGCAUCAGAAGAACUGAUUGCAAGACAUCAGGCUGAGCCUCCAAGUCCAUCAAUUAUCAUCACUAGCACUGAGAAGACAUAAUGCAUUUUACAGUGUGUAGCAUUCUCCUGCUGCUGUUGGUGGGGCCUGUGUCAUCUAUGCCAGUUCCAUUUUGUCAAAACACACACAGGCAGAUUGAGAACAUUCUCAAUUUGCUGCAGACGAUUAGAAAGGCAGCUACAGGAACAUCCUCAAACGUGACAAAGUUGGACGAGAACGAGACAAUUUUAAACACAGAUCAGUGUGCACUUAUACAGAGGCUGAGUAACUACCAGGCAUGUGACCUUGAUCUGUCACCAGAAAUCAAAGAACUCCACUACAUGAAAACAGAAACCAAAGGCUUGGUGGAGAACUUGCAGAGCUCCCCAAUUGCCAGCUGUGUCCUUUCACCUGCUGUGUGCCCCUGUUCACACUUGCCUAUGUGGAAGAAGAUCAUUUUCCUGUUGAAUUCAUGGUCUCAAGAUGUUGCUGCAUGCAACAAUGCACUUCGGAACGUGUGCUCAUCUUCAAACUACAAUUCUGUAUAAUUACUUGAAUACUACCACAUUUUAGACAAUGGAAAUUCCAUAAUUGUUUUAACUGAUGUUAAAUAUUUACUAUUUAGUCAUUUAAUAAAAGCAAGCUGUUUACAUAACUGUUUUUGACAUUUUCAGUGUUUUCCUUUAAUUUUCUAUGCUUGGUUUGUAAAAUAGAACACCUAGUACAUUAUGUUUUCUGAACUGAUUUAUACCAACAACAAUGCAACUCAAGGAUUGACCAGUGAGGAUACUUCACCAAUACGGCAAUCAUUUUAAAUUAAUUGUUUAUUUCCAUUCCAUUGAGCAUUUUUCCAUCAAAGAAAUGAAUGUGACAUGAUACCAAUUAAAUUAAUAGCACAACACAACAAAAACUUGUUUCUUUCUUUUUUUUUGUAAAAAACAUUUUACAAAUGUGAAAAACAUUUUCCAAAAUAAACAAACUAAUAACCUUAAAUAAAAACGCUUCCAUCUUAAUAAUCUAUCCGGUUGUUUUUAUGGGAUUUUUUUGUUUGCAAUAAAGUAGUCAAAAUGUAAAGUUAAGUCAAUGUAAAUGGAACUUCUGAAAGAGUAGGACAACUUAGUAAUGGUAAAAUAAUAAUAGAACACACUUCCUCUCGCGCUCUCUCUCUUUUUUUUUUCCACGUUGCAGUCACAGCCUUUCCUUUUCCCUGGCAAUAGGACACAAAGAACAUAAAUAGCUUUAACGUAAACGUAGUGUAAUGUUAGUGACGAUAACGACUGCAAUGUAGACAUCGAAAUUAAAAUGACGAGGUUACAUACGUAAUGGUGCAGUAACACGUGUCUCACUUGGAUUUUUCAACACUCUUUACAACGCCAUUAUAAACACUGCAUAUUUUAGGGAAUUCCCUCCAGCUUUACAGCAUCCCUUAGGUAACAAUGACAGAAACUCAUAUGCAGAAGAGAAAUCUUAAGGAAACCGUAUUAAGACAUCCACUAAUUGGUAGGAUUUCUAUGCUCUUCUAGUGAAUGUUUAAAGAAUAAAAUAAAACUCUGUGAAUCAUAUUUCCCCCCCUAGACGUGCAUUAGAAGAGCACAGCUAUUUUAUUAUGAAUAUGAGACAUGAAGUCAUUCAGUGUGACCUUGCAUCAAGUUCUCUGCGCUGCCUUAAAAAGCAUGAAAAACUCAAAUCGAAAGUGCACAUACAUUAAAGUCAGGAAGUGGGAUAAAGUAUUCAGAGGG
Molecule: RNA transcript, 15776 nt
Organism: Ictalurus punctatus (channel catfish)
Lineage: Eukaryota; Metazoa; Chordata; Actinopteri; Siluriformes; Ictaluridae
Exons: 6
Source: RefSeq, a predicted model, not a curated record